This 109-nucleotide ribosomal RNA is filed under the name Caerostris darwini. The record is from RNAcentral. Lineage: Eukaryota; Metazoa; Arthropoda; Arachnida; Araneae; Araneidae.
GAUCUUACCAUGCUGAAUAUACCGGUUCUCGUUAGAUCACCGAAGUCAAGCAUCAUUGGGCGCUGUCACUACUUGGGUGGGUGACCAUCUGGAAACACCGCGGGCCGUU